This 212-nucleotide non-coding RNA is filed under the name Cavia porcellus (domestic guinea pig). Its description in RNAcentral is "Bacterial large subunit ribosomal RNA". It matches the Rfam family "Bacterial large subunit ribosomal RNA", at positions 2410 to 2641 of the family's 2925-position model. Lineage: Eukaryota; Metazoa; Chordata; Mammalia; Rodentia; Caviidae. The record is from Rfam by way of RNAcentral.
ACUAAUUGACCCAAAACUUUUUGAUCAACGGACCGAGUUACCCUAGGGAUCAUAGCACAAUCCUAUUUUAAAGUCCAUAUUGACAAUAGGGUUUAUGACCUCGAUGUUGUAUCAGGACAUCCUAAUGGUGCAGUAUUAAGGGUUCGUUUGUUCAACGUUUAAUAGUCCUACAUGAUCUGAGUUCAGACCAGAGCAAUCCUGUCGGUUUCUAU